AAAAAAAAAAAAAAGACAAUAGACAUACUUAUCCAUCCAAGUACAUAAACAGCACUUAUACAUUAAGCAUAAAAUCAAAUUGUAAUAAAGGCAAAUUAAAAAAAAAAAAAAAAGCAUUACAAAGGAGAAAGAACUGAACAAACCACACAAACAGGAGACCGGCAAAAACAGUAAUUGUAUCAAACGCAUUACAAAUUUAAUCUUCUUAAUUAAUGGGCAGCAGUUUCUUUGUCCUUCUCCUUUUCGUCCUCAGACUUGGGGUGGUAGCCAGGGAGCUUCUCCUUGAGUUUCUCCAAUAUGCCCUUCUUCUCCUUGGCCUCUGCCUCAUGAGCCUCGACUGAUGUGGGGUGCUCAGCAGCAGGAAGAGAAGGGACCUGAUGAUCUUCAGGUUUCUUUUGCUGUCCUGGUAGUUUCUCCUUGAUCUUGUUGAGAAAUCCUUUCUUUUCUUCAGGAUGGGCUUCUUCCUGGUGGUGGGGAGCAUGGACAUCAUCAAGUUUCUCGACAGGGACAGUCGUGUCCUCUUCUUUCUCACCUGAUAUUUUCUCCUUGAGCUUCUCCUUCAGUCCCUUCUUUUCCUUCUUCUUCUUCUUCUUCUUUUCCUC
This 602-nucleotide long non-coding RNA is filed under the name Citrus maxima (pomelo). RNAcentral describes it as "long non-coding RNA (CMAX_LNC001637)". Lineage: Eukaryota; Viridiplantae; Streptophyta; Magnoliopsida; Sapindales; Rutaceae. The record is from RNAcentral.